AAGUCGUAACAAGGUUUCCGUAGGUGAACCUGCGGAAGGAUCAUUAACAAGUAUCCAACGUUAAACCCCCCCGUGAAUAUUAAGCGUGCUCUUGCUGCCCGGUCAAUGCAAUCCCGGUAAAUCAUGUCGAACAGUAUUGAUUCAGGGACUUCUGCCCGACUGAGAAGUUACAGCGGCAAUGGUUUGGUUUCCCCUCAAAUUCACUUCAAUGAAUGAAAGUGUCAUUGAAGUGUGAUGGGGAGAACGCUUAGCGAUCACUGUAGGCCAACACUGGCCGGUGUCCAGACCGCCGGGCGCAAGCCCCCUUAUCACCACAUGUCAGCGUAGGCCCUUCUGUCGUGGUUGGGCAUUAAAACGAACAACUGUUAACAAUGGAUAUCUUGGUUCUC
RNAcentral lists this unclassified non-coding RNA (389 nucleotides) under fungal sp. Its description in RNAcentral is "partial internal transcribed spacer region". The stretch from base 1 to 46 matches the Rfam family "Eukaryotic small subunit ribosomal RNA", at positions 1786 to 1831 of the family's 1831-position model. The record is from RNAcentral. Lineage: Eukaryota; Fungi.